CGUGGGUAACCUGCCUCAUAGACUGGGACAACUAUUGGAAACGAUAGCUAAUACCGGAUAACAGUAUUUCUCGCAUGAGAGAUAUUUAAAAGUUGGUUAUGCUAACACUAUGAGAUGGCUUUGCGGUGCAUUAGCUAGUUGGUGGGGUAAAGGCCCACCAAGGCGACGAUGCAUAGCCGACCUGAGAGGGUGAUCGGCCACACUGGGACUGAGACACGGCCCAG
This 224-nucleotide ribosomal RNA is filed under the name uncultured bacterium. RNAcentral's name for it is "partial 16S ribosomal RNA". It matches the Rfam family "Bacterial small subunit ribosomal RNA", at positions 116 to 334 of the family's 1533-position model. The record is from RNAcentral.